UUUUGACAUUUCACGAGUAAAAACUCGAGCCGUGAUAAUACACGGUUACUGCUUCCACACUAAAAACUCUGUUGCACUUGUAAUAAGAUCGUGUCACUUUUUUAAAAAACAAUCACGAUCGCAACUUGAUUUACAAUUUCUUGCGGUCUCUUUGAAUACGUUUCCCCUGGAAACCGCUUAUUGCGUAAUGUUUACAUACAUAUGUAAUACGACAUUUUCUACAUUAUUGCUUCACAUCUUUUUGUUCACAUACGAAGUAUCCAAUAUUUCAAACACAAAGAAACGAUAUUUCGAAAACAAAACAAGUUUAAGUAGACUUCGACAUCAUUCAUCUUAUUAUUUUCUAUUUAUAAUGACAAUAAAUUGCAUUCGUUAUCUUCGUGCUACGACUGAUACGUUCUAGGGAAGUAUUUUUCUAAUCUUGGCAGGACAAAUUUAAACCUGGAAUUCAGAAACUUGUUCAAAGAUGUUUAUUUUAUAUAAUUAUUGCUCAAUGAUUUAUAGGCAUCAAUAGCUUUUAUCAUCAUUUAUGUUCAAGGGAUACUUUAUUUCAUUUGAUAAACUUGAAAAACUCUGGUUUAUUUGAUCACACAAUUGGUAGCUAUCACCAGCUAUCAAUGACAGCUGAUUGUUAUUGUAUUUAUGUUUAUAAUUAAAAGUAAAAAUGCCGAAAGUAGUCUCAAGAAGUAUAAUAUGUUCGGAUACUAAAGAUCAAGAAGAAUACAGUGAAGAGAAACCAUUGCACAUUUAUUAUUGCUUAUGUGGGCAAAUGACAUUAAUUUUAGAUUGUGCUAUAGAAAAGUUACCUUUAAGAAAAAGAGAUGGUGCACGUGUUAUUGAUGGUAGUAAACACGCUCACAAAAUGACCUGCGAGCAAGAUGAAGUUGUAUAUUUGAAACGUACUGAAGGCAUAGAAAAGCAAUAUCGUCAAAAAUGCAAAAAAUGUAUCAAUUAUAAUUUGUACAUGUAUCUCCACAGAUGUGGCUUGUUUCUCUAUUACAAACAUGAUCAAGGAACAAAUGUUGUAUUUAUUGUAAAAGGUGCUGUGAUUAAAAGUUCUGGAGAAGGUCCAAUGACAGAUAUAUAUAAUCAAGUAGCUAUCGAAAAACCCAAGAAAAUAAUGGUUACAAAACAUACUAAAAAUAUGGGAAAAUUCAGUUCUGUUACUGUCUCUACAAUUGAUGAAGAGGAAGAUGAAAUUGAAGCGAGAGAAGUUGCCGACUCGUAUGCUAAUAAUGCUCGAAUAAUAGAGAAACAAUUAGAGAGGAAAGGAAUGAACAAACGGAAAGCUAUGCCUCCUCCUGAAGCAGAUCCUAAAAGAGCAAGACCUCGAGGCACGUUGUUAGAUGUAUAAUUAAUUAUAUUAUUGUCAUACAUUUAAUCUGAAUAUGAAUGUAUACAAAAGCAUUUCUGAAAAAAACGCUGGAGGAUAAACAGAGUUCUACUUACAAGUAUUAAUUGGUAUGAUGGCAACAUUAAAUGGUAAGAAAAAGUUACUUUACAUAUACUGCAAUUAAUCAAAUUAGUAUAUAAUUCUACAAGACAAUUACAGAUGAUAUGGCUCUUUAAUGUGGAAGAAAGAAAGGUCUGUCUAUCUAAAUGUAUUGUAUAACUGGCCAUGUUACAUCUACAAUCUAUAAAUAUGCAGUAUGUAAUACUAUGACAUUAAUGCGCACAUUGGUUGAGAAUUGGGUGGGAUAUUAAGCUAGCUGCGUUUGUGAUUGUGAUAUUUGUUUAAACACAUUCUAACUGUGUAAUAGUUUAAUUGAAUGCAAUCAAUACUUAAAACGUCUCUAAAGAUUCCCACUCUGCCAGAUAAUUGAAAGGAUCAUAUAACUAAAGAAACGACUUUUAAUUUGAAACUUG
Molecule: non-coding RNA, 1866 nt
Organism: Osmia lignaria (orchard mason bee)
Lineage: Eukaryota; Metazoa; Arthropoda; Insecta; Hymenoptera; Megachilidae
Source: RefSeq, a predicted model, not a curated record